UUAAUUUAAUUACAGGUCUAUCGAUAGACUAUGUGGAGAAUAAGCUUUAUUGGAUCAGUUCCGGAAAUAGAACCAUAAACCGAUGCAACCUGGAUGGUGGUAAUUUAGAAGUAAUAGAGUCAAUGAAAGAAGAAUUAAAAAAAGCUACAGCCUUAACCAUCAUGGGAUUAAUGGGCUGAACUCCAUGGAUCUAUGUUCCAUGGAAAUGAAACUGUGUCUGUUUUGUUGACCACUGUGAAACUCAAAAACUAUCCCAUAUAGGAGGCCAUGCAUGUAUGAGGUUCACUGUCCUGAGGGCCAUUCCAUCAAUGCAGUGAUAUGGAUUACAAGCAUUCAUGCCUUUCUGAAAGAGGACUUGACAAAAUGCAUGGAAGAUAGCAGUAGCAACAUGAAGAAUCUACAUGAAACUCAAGAAAAGUAGCAACACCAUGCACAGAUGGAAAUCACAAGCUGCAGAAGCUGCGGAACUGGCUACCAAAACGGUAAUGGAAAAUAGACAGCAAUUGAAUCAAUAAAUGUGAAAAAGCAUAGUGAAUGAUAUUCAGUGUGAUGUGAAAAUACCAAGGGAAAAUGUAGGGAAUGUAGCAGUGUCUAGAAGCAACAAAUAGUGCCCCUGAGGAAAUUGACCAGCCUCACAGCCCAGAGGAGAUCCUGGGACUUCUGUAGCUAUUUGCAAGUUGUGCAAAGA
Molecule: long non-coding RNA, 688 nt
Organism: Peromyscus eremicus (cactus mouse)
Lineage: Eukaryota; Metazoa; Chordata; Mammalia; Rodentia; Cricetidae
Exons: 3
Source: RefSeq, a predicted model, not a curated record